CAGACAUAAAAGGUGGCUUCGGCUACCACUUACAGAUGGACCCGCGGCGCAUUAGCUAGUUGGUGAGGUAACGGCUCACCAAGGCGACGAUGCGUAGCCGACCUGAGAGGGUGAUCGGCCACACUGGGACUGAGACACGGCCCACACUCCUACGGGAGGCAGCAGUAGGGAAUCUUCCGCAAUGGACGAAAGUCUGACGGAGCAACGCCGCGUGAGUGAUGAAGGUUUUCGGAUCGUAAAGCUCUGUUGUUAGGGAAGAACAAGUGCCGUUCAAAUAGGGCGGCACCUUGACGGUACCUAACCAGAAAGCCACGGCUAACUACGUGCCAGCAGCCGCGGUAAUACGUAGGUGGCAAGCGUUGUCCGGAAUUAUUGGGCGUAAAGGGCUCGCAGGCGGUUUCUUAAGUCUGAUGUGAAAGCCCCCGGCUCAACCGGGGAGGGUCAUUGGAAACUGGGGAACUUGAGUGCAGAAGAGGAGAGUGGAAUUCCACGUGUAGCGGUGAAAUGCGUAGAGAUGUGGAGGAACACCAGUGGCGAAGGCGACUCUCUGGUCUGUAACUGACGCUGAGGAGCGAAAGCGUGGGGAGCGAACAGGAUUAGAUACCCUGGUAGUCCACGCCGUAAACGAUGAGUGCUAAGUGUUAGGGGGUUUCCGCCCCUUAGUGCUGCAGCUAACGCAUUAAGCACUCCGCCUGGGGAGUACGGUCGCAAGAUUGAAACUCAAAGGAAUUGACGGGGGCCCGCACAAGCGGUGGAGCAUGUGGUUUAAUUCAAAGCCACGCAAAGAAAUUUCCCAGGUCUUGGACUCCUCUUGAAAACCCAAAAAAAGGAACCCCCUUCCGGGGCAAAAUGAACAGGUGGGGCAUGGUUGUCGUCAGCUCGUGUCGUGAGAUGUUGGGUUAAGUCCCGCAACGAGCGCAACCCUUGAUCUUAGUUGCCAGCAUUCAGUUGGGCACUCUAAGGUGACUGCCGGUGACAAACCGGAGGAAGGUGGGGAUGACGUCAAAUCAUCAUGCCCCUUAUGACCUGGGCUACACACGUGCUACAAUGGACAGAACAAAGGGCAGCGAAACCGCGAGGUUAAGCCAAUCCCACAAAUCUGUUCUCAGUUCGGAUCGCAGUCUGCAACUCGACUGCGUGAAGCUGGAAUCGACUAGUAAUCGCGGAUCAGCAUGUCCGCGGUGAAUACGUUCCCGGGCCUUGUACACG
RNAcentral lists this ribosomal RNA (1209 nucleotides) under Bacillus amyloliquefaciens. RNAcentral's name for it is "bacterial SSU rRNA". It matches the Rfam family "Bacterial small subunit ribosomal RNA", at positions 195 to 1389 of the family's 1533-position model. Lineage: Bacteria; Bacillati; Bacillota; Bacilli; Caryophanales; Bacillaceae. The record is from RNAcentral.